Molecule: RNA transcript, 5736 nt
Organism: Camelus dromedarius (Arabian camel)
Lineage: Eukaryota; Metazoa; Chordata; Mammalia; Artiodactyla; Camelidae
Gene: SIDT1
Gene name: SID1 transmembrane family member 1
Exons: 26
Source: RefSeq, a predicted model, not a curated record
AGAGGGGUUCUGUAAGAGAAGGGAGAACUGAGAGUUAAUACCCAUCAUUCAGACAGGCAGUUCUCUACAGGUAGCUGACUGGAAAUGUGAACUCGUGCACCCUCUUUGGGGACAGGCUGUGUUGCUUUCUAUUUCUUUGCUUGCAGCCAGGUGCACAUUUAUUUGAAACGGAAUGAAUUUUCUGCUCAAUGGCCGGUCAGGUUAACGCUUCAAGACUAGUGGAUAUUUCUUUUUAAUGUCUUCAAUGCUAUUUUUUCCUUUUUUUUUUUUUUUUUUUUCUUUCUUUUUGAGAUUGAGGAGGAAGAGCUCGGUUUAAAUUCUGGUUGGGUAAGUGGGGGAUUCUCAGAAAUGAGAAAGGGGGAAGGAAACGGACUUAAAAGCCAGAGAGCAAAGCACCAGCCCUCGGCCCCCACAUCCUGCGCACCCCCUACCUCCGCCCCGUGACCUCCCGAGGAGACCCCAGGCGGCUGCAUCAAUAUUUGAUCAGCUUUUCACCAGCGCGUUGCCAGCACUCGUCGGCGGGGCUUGCCAGGCAUCGCCCGCGCUACGCUGAAGCCCGCGCCGGCGCCCGAAGGGGCUUCGGAAGGACCGGCUCUGCGCUCGCCCUCUCCGCAGGACGGCUCGGCUUCGCGGCCGGGGCGCGGCGCCCACCAUGCGGGGCUGCACGCGGCUCGCGCUGCUCUGCGCGCUGCCCUGGCUCCUGCGGGCGGCCGCGCCGGGGCGCACGGCACAACCCCUAGCGCAGCGCCGCGACCCUCGCGACCCCGCCAGGGGCGCCGACUUCGAUCGCAUCUACAGCGGGGUGGUGAGCCUCAGCACCGAGAACAUCUACUCCUUCAACUACACCAGCCAGCCCGGCCAGGUGAACGCUGUGCGGGUGUAUGUGAACAGCUCCUCGGAGAACCUCGACUACCCGGUCCUGGUCGUGGUUCGCCAGCAGAAAGGGGUGCUGUCCUGGCAGGUUCCUCUGCUUUUCCAAGGACUAUACCAGAGGAGCUACAGCUACCAGGAAGUGAGCCGCACCUUGUGUCCCUCGGAAGCAACCAACGAGACAGGACCUCUGGAGCAACUGAUCUUUGUGGAUGUAGCAUCCAUGGCGCCCCUGGGUGCCUACUACAAACUGCUGGUUACCAGGAUCAAGCACUUCCAGCUGCAGACAAAUGUUGCCUUUCACUUCACUGCCAGCCCCUCUCAACCUCAGUAUUUUCUAUACAAAUUUCCUGAAGAUGUGGAUUCAGUUAUCAUUAAAGUCAUGUCUGAAGUGGCUUAUCCAUGUUCCGUUGUCUCAGUCCAGAAUAUCAUGUGCCCGGUGUACGAUCUCGACCACAAUGUGGAAUUUAAUGGUAUCUAUCAGUCCAUGACCAAGAAAGCUGCCAUCACACUACAGAAGAAGGAUUUUCCAGGCGGGCAGUUCUUUGUGGUGUUUGUGAUAAAGCCUGAAGAUUAUGCUUGUGGAGGAUCUUUCUUCACCCAGGAAAAGGAGAACCAGACCUGGAAUCUACAACGUGCAAAGAACCUUAAAGUGACCAUUGUUCCUUCCAUUAAAAAAUCCGUUUAUGUGAAAUCCAUUCUUCUCAGUUUCCUCAUCUUCCUCUCCUUCUACUUGGGAUGCCUGUGUGUUGCGUUGGUUCAUUUUAUCAGGUUUCAGAGAAAAUCCAUUGAUGGAAGCUUUGGUUCCAAUGAUGGCUCUGGAAAUAUGUCGGCGUCACAUCCCAUUGCUGCCAGCACCCCUGAAGGAAGCAAUUAUGGGGCAAUAGAUGAGUCCAGCUCCAGUCCGGGCAGGCAGGCAUCCUCCUCCGACGGCGGGCAGCCGUGCCAGUCGGACUCCGACAGCUCCGUGGAGGAGAGUGACUUCGACACCAUGCCAGACAUUGAGAGUGACAAGAACAUCAUCCGGACCAAGACGUUUCUUUACCUGUCAGAUCUGUCCAGGAAGGACCGGAGAAUUAUCAGCAAGAAAUAUAAGAUUUAUUUUUGGAACAUCAUUACCAUCGCUGUGUUUUAUGCACUGCCCGUGAUCCAGCUAGUCAUCACCUACCAGACAGUGGUAAAUAUCACUGGCAACCAGGACAUCUGCUACUACAACUUCCUCUGUGCUCACCCCUUGGGCGUCCUGAGUGCCUUCAACAACAUCCUCAGCAACCUGGGCCACGUGCUCCUGGGCUUGCUCUUCCUGCUGAUAGUCUUGCGCCAGGACAUUCUCCAUCGAAGAGCCUUGGAAGCCAAGGACAUCUUCGCCAUGGAGUAUGGGAUUCCCAAACACUUUGGUCUCUUCUAUGCUAUGGGGAUCGCACUGAUGACGGAAGGAGUGCUCAGUGCUUGUUACCACGUCUGCCCUAAUUACUCCAACUUCCAAUUCGACACCUCCUUCAUGUACAUGAUCGCCGGCCUGUGCAUGCUGAAGCUCUACCAGACGCGCCACCCGGAUAUCAACGCCAGCGCCUACGCCGCCUAUGCCUCCUUCGCGGCGGUCAUCACGCUCACCGUCCUCGGAGUGGUGUUUGGGAAAAAUGACAUCUGGUUCUGGAUCAUCUUCUCCGCAAUCCAUAUUCUGGCUUCUCUGGCCCUCAGCACCCAGAUCUACUACAUGGGGCGUUUCAAGAUAGAUUUGGGGAUCUUUCGGCGUGCCGCUAUGGUGUUCUACACGGACUGCCUCCAGCAGUGCAGCCGGCCUCUGUACACGGACAGAAUGGUGUUGCUCGUCGUGGGCAAUCUGGUUAACUGGUCCUUUGCCCUCUUCGGACUGAUCUAUCGACCCAGGGACUUUGCUUCCUACAUGCUGGGCAUCUUCAUCUGUAACCUGCUGCUCUACCUGGCCUUCUACAUCAUCAUGAAGCUUCGCAGCUCUGAGAAGGUCCUCCCGAUCCCACUCUUCUGCAUCGUGGCCACUGCCGUGGUGUGGGCUGCCGCCCUGUAUUUUUUCUUCCAGAAUCUCAGCAGCUGGGAGGGAACCCCAGCCGAAUCCCGGGAGAAGAACCGCGAGUGUAUCCUGCUGGAUUUCUUUGAUGACCAUGACAUCUGGCACUUCCUCUCUGCGACUGCCCUGUUUUUCUCAUUCUUGUCCCUCCAUUUUUUUGCCCGAACACCUUCGCAGAAGCCAUGCACACUAUAACAACCCAGGACGAUCAUUGCUGGCAUCCUUUCGUCUUAAUUUUGACUUUUCCAAAAUAAGAGUCCGUGGUGCCUGUACACAAGGUUUUGUUAACCCUGGAUGAUGACCUGGAUGUGGUUCGGAGAGACCAGAUCCCUGUCUUUUAAGCAUCCAGCAUUAAGAGCGGGGAGUGGGAGUGAUCGAUCUUGGUGCUGUUUCAUGAAAAAUACAGGGACUGCAGCAAAGUAACCACUGCCAAAUGCUCCACGGGUCAGCUCUGUACACAUUCACACAGGGAGGGGAGAUGCUGCAGGGCGACCCAAACCAGCAAGAAGGGAGGCAGAAGGGAAGCCAUGGCUGUGGAUAGACGCAAGCCCUGCAGAGCCAAGACAUUCACCACCCCUUCCAUCACGACUCAGACAUGGACAAAAGCUGCAUCAAAGUCAGCGCUCUGUCCUGGGACUCCUCCCACCCUCACCUGAGACUUGCAGCCAUAGGGGAACCAUGCUGCUCUCUUGUCUCCAGCUGCCUCCCUGCCCAGAAAGGCCAGUACCUCCAAUUUCCUGCCCAGAAACUCAGGGCCGGCCCCCUGUGCACCUCUGUAACAUCUGCUGCUCUAGACGUCCCAGAACACAAGCCCGCUUCUCCAAGGUCCUGGGAUGAUGGGACUCCUUGCAGUCUGGUAGAGGGCAGACCCAAGGCCCUACCCACCUGGGACAGACGUUUUAUAGCACAGCUCGUCACCUCUUCAGCAGGAGUCAGGAGUGCUGUAUGCAUCCCUCUGGUUCCCAACCACAUGAGGACUGACUCCAGGGCCAUGCUGCAUACUCCUGGCGGGUAACUGUCUCCGGGACCAAGGCGUGGGCACUUCCCUGUUCCUUGGUGUCUUCAUGUCACCGUUGUGUGUUGACCCCAUGACUCAGGCUCUGCCUUCUUGAGAAGGCCCUGUUAGUCCACCAACGAGCUCUACAGGGAAGGAGAAACCGGAAACCCCUUCCAGCAACAGGAGGAACAAGAGAAAUGACCAACAGCACUAAGAGACUGGUGACAUUAGCAGCAAGCAAACAAGCCUCACCCUAAGGCCGGGGCUUCUGGAGCAGAUGCAGCGAAGGCAGAAGCACUUCCUCGUGCCUCCAAUCCAAACAGCUCAUUCUGUGCCCGCAUCACCCUUGGGGAAGGAAUAAGUGUUCUAACCAGGGGCACCGCACUAGGGCUCCUGUACCACCGGCCAAGCCCCCCUCUCUGCUGCUUUAUGCAGAUGGGGGGCUCUAGACUGGCUCCUGAAGUUCUCUCUGGAAGUCACUCUCAGGGGGAAUGCAUUCCACCCUCCUCUCCAUUUGCAAAGAGCACGGCUGAUUUAGGGUUGUCUCUUUGUUGCACCUGAUUCACAUCCUCUCCCCAGUACAUGUGAAAAGCUCAGCGUCCCACUCCACUCUGUCUGGUAGCUCUGCCCCCAGGAAGUCCUGUUUUGACCAGAUUCCCUUGUUACCUACAGGGUGAUGUCAUCAGAAAAUUGACGUACAAAUGUGCACACAUGAUGUAUUUGCCUGUGAAAUUGAAGUCCCCUGUCACUUCUCCUUUCCUGACCCUGCACUAGAGAAACCUAUCAGCCACUCUUUUAAAAUAUAUUAGUCUUUCCCUAAAAUAUUUGCAUAAUGUUCAAAAACACUUUUUGGAAGGUUGAAUAGCAAACUUGCCCUGAUUUUUAAAAACAAAGAUAUUUUCAAUGAAACAUCGUGUGAUUUUUUUCCCAGAAUGCCCCCAAAUUUGUAAUUGGUCUUCUGUUACUCUUCAUUCCUUAAAAAUUGCUGGCUUCCAUAGGCCAUAUAAAGGCCACCUAUUAAAUGGUUCCAUUAGUCUAACAUCUAACAGAAAUUUCGAACCUGUUUAACUUUCGCUGAUUUGACCUAAUUCAUUUAUUUUUAGAUAAUAAUAAAUUUUAAAUUUAAAUAAAAGUUUCAAAUCAAAAAAAAAAAAAAAAAAAGGAAGAGGAAAUCUGAACAACAAAAUCUGUGCAAAUAGCCCUGUGCCUGAAGUAAACACAUUGUAGGACAUGUUACCUGUUUGGUAACUUGUUUGGGAAAUAUGUCCAUAGAAAUGGGGAGGGGACCCUGUAGAAAUGGAUGGAUUGUGCUGUUGUAUUUUUUUUUUCUGGAUGUUUUUCGACAAAGUCUUGUGCUAUAAACUCACACAUUGUGGUCAGCUUUGUUCUCAGCAGCAGGACUAAAAACCCAACCCUGCUCUUAUAAACAUCAGUUCUAAAUGUACGUGUUGCAAGUUCUUUCUGCAAUGCCGACUCCAGGUUGGAGGACACAAGGAAGCCGUUCAGCUGCACCUGUGGGGCUGACAGGACCACGGGUGGAGGGGCAGCCAGAGUUACUCCUGGUCCCUCAUCCACAUGCAGUGCAGGCCACAUGCAGUGCGAAUUCUGUCUGUGCUCAUGGCUUCGCUCUCCAAAAGAGAAGGGAACUGAAAGCCAAGUGCAGCAGGAGGGUAACCGGAGAAAGACAGCCACUGUGAAGAGGCUCUUGGCAGAGAGGCACCGAGUAACAAGAGCAGUCCAGCUGGUGGACAGAGACGUGGUGGCCAGAGGGGCAAAAUGGUGCACAUUAAAAAAAAAAAAAAAAAUGGCCUCUUCGCACCUC